UCUGUAGAUAGUUGGUAUUGCAAAUUCAGUGAAUAAAAUCUGAUUCUAUUGUUUGUAUAUUUUGUAUAUGACAUCUGCAAGUAGUAUAGUAUCAAAAUGUCAGAUAUCUUAUGUAUAUAAAAAAAAAUUUGUCCAAAAUCCUAUAUUAUACAACCCCUUAGAAAAGAUUAGGAUCCUCCUAUUUUGUCUAUGUAAUUUUCUAAAAAAGCUAUAUUGUCUGAGAUCAUCUGUGAAGGCAGGAUUUUGGAGUAUGACUGAUGCCAUGGAUUCCAUUCAUACCCUUGGUACACUUUUCUAUAUGCCAUAAAUAUUAUAUCAUUGCUACUCUGUUGAACCACUGCAGGAGUUAGAAACUGGAGAUUUUUUUGGAUUUGUUUACAUAAAACAUCAUCAGAAAUCAGCCUACAUCACAACAUGGCAGUGUCUAGAACAGUAGAAUUAUUUUUGUA
This 449-nucleotide long non-coding RNA is filed under the name Androctonus crassicauda. The record is from RNAcentral. Lineage: Eukaryota; Metazoa; Arthropoda; Arachnida; Scorpiones; Buthidae.